UACCACUCUUAACCACUACACCACACUGGCUCUCUUUCAAUUUUCCCACAAUGCCCUGGAAAACCUGACAUGGUGUUCCCUGGAGAGAGAGCCAGUGUGGUGUAGUGGUUAAGAGCGGUAGU
Non-coding RNA from Podarcis lilfordi (Lilford's wall lizard), 122 nucleotides. The record is from the annotation of a GenBank genome assembly. Lineage: Eukaryota; Metazoa; Chordata; Lepidosauria; Squamata; Lacertidae.